RNAcentral lists this transfer RNA (74 nucleotides) under Burkholderia multivorans. RNAcentral describes it as "tRNA-Gly". It matches the Rfam family "tRNA". Rfam says of the family: Transfer RNA (tRNA) molecules are approximately 80 nucleotides in length. Their secondary structure includes four short double-helical elements and three loops (D, anti-codon, and T loops). Lineage: Bacteria; Pseudomonadati; Pseudomonadota; Betaproteobacteria; Burkholderiales; Burkholderiaceae. The record is from RNAcentral.
GCGGGCGUGGCCGAAUGGUCAGGCGGCGGCCUUCCAAGCCGUUCACACGAGUUCGAUUCUCGUCGUCCGCUCCA